This 467-nucleotide ribosomal RNA is filed under the name uncultured bacterium. RNAcentral describes it as "partial 16S ribosomal RNA". It matches the Rfam family "Bacterial small subunit ribosomal RNA", at positions 29 to 507 of the family's 1533-position model. The record is from RNAcentral.
ACGAACGCUGGCGGCGUGCUUAACACAUGCAAGUCGAACGGAAAGGCCCUGCUUUUGUGGGGUGCUCGCGUGGCGAACGGGUGAGUAACACGUGAGUAACCUGCCCUUGACUUUGGGAUAACUUCAGGAAACUGGGGCUAAUACCGGAUAGGAGCUCCUGCUGCAUGGUGGGGGUUGGAAAGUUUCGGCGGUUGGGGAUGGACUCGCGGCUUAUCAGCUUGUUGGUGGGGUAGUGGCUUACCAAGGCUUUGACGGGUAGCCGGCCUGAGAGGGUGACCGGCCACAUUGGGACUGAGAGACGGCCCAGACUCCUACGGGAGGCAGCAGUGGGGAAUAUUGCACAGUGGGCGGAAGCCUGAUGCAGCAACGCCGCGUGCGGGAUGACGGCCUUCGGGUUGUAAACCGCUUUCGCCUGUGACGAAGCGUGAGUGACGGUAAUGGGUAAAGAAGCACCGGCUAACUACGUG